UGGCUGUAGAUGGAAUGGAGUAACUGCU
RNAcentral lists this non-coding RNA (28 nucleotides) under Homo sapiens (human). Lineage: Eukaryota; Metazoa; Chordata; Mammalia; Primates; Hominidae. The record is from RNAcentral.